RNAcentral lists this transfer RNA (75 nucleotides) under Candidatus Rokuibacteriota bacterium. RNAcentral's name for it is "Candidatus Rokubacteria bacterium (groundwater metagenome) tRNA-Met". It matches the Rfam family "tRNA". From Rfam's summary of the family: Transfer RNA (tRNA) molecules are approximately 80 nucleotides in length. Their secondary structure includes four short double-helical elements and three loops (D, anti-codon, and T loops). Lineage: Bacteria; Candidatus Rokuibacteriota. The record is from RNAcentral.
UGCAGGGGGCUGGUGAGGUAUCAGAUCAGGCUCAUACCCUGACCGAAGCGGGUUCGAGUCCCGCCCCUGCUACCA